GGGAAUCUUCCACAAUGGACGCAAGUCUGAUGGAGCAACGCCGCGUGAGUGAAGAAGGCUUUCGGGUCGUAAAACUCUGUUGUUGGAGAAGAAUGGUCGGCAGAGUAACUGUUGCCGGCGUGACGGUAUCCAACCAGAAAGCCACGGCUAACUACGUGCCAGCAGCCGCGGUAAUACGUAGGUGGCAAGCGUUAUCCGGAUUUAUUGGGCGUAAAGCGAGCGCAGGCGGUUUUUUAAGUCUGAUGUGAAAGCCCUCGGCUUAACCGAGGAAGCGCAUCGGAAACUGGGAAACUUGAGUGCAGAAGAGGACAGUGGAACUCCAUGUGUAGCGGUGAAAUGCGUAGAUAUAUGGAAGAACACCAGUGGCGAAGGCGGCUGUCUGGUCUGUAACUGACGCUGAGGCUCGAAAGCAUGGGUAGCGAACAGGAUUAGAUACCCUGGUAGUCCAUGCCGUAAACGAUGAAUGCUAGGUGUUGGAGGGUUUCCGCCCUUCAGUGCCGCAGCUAACGCAUUAAGCAUUCCGCCUGGGGAGUACGACCGCAAGGUUGAAACUCAAAGGAAUUGACGGGGGCCCGCACAAGCGGUGGAGCAUGUGGUUUAAUUCGAAGCAACGCGAAGAACCUUACCAGGUCUUGACAUCUUUUGAUCACCUGAGAGAUCAGGUUUCCCCUUCGGGGGCAAAAUGACAGGUGGUGCAUGGUUGUCGUCAGCUCGUGUCGUGAGAUGUUGGGUUAAGUCCCGCAACGAGCGCAACCCUUAUGACUAGUUGCCAGCAUUUAGUUGGGCACUCUAGUAAGACUGCCGGUGACAAACCGGAGGAAGGUGGGGAUGACGUCAAAUCAUCAUGCCCCUUAUGACCUGGGCUACACACGUGCUACAAUGGAUGGUACAACGAGUUGCGAGACCGCGAGGUCAAGCUAAUCUCUUAAAGCCAUUCUCAGUUCGGACUGUAGGCUGCAACUCGCCUACACGAAGUCGGAAUCGCUAGUAAUCGCGGAUCAGCACGCCGCGGUGAAUACGUUCCCGGGCCUUGUACACACCGCCCGUCACACCAUGAGAGUUUGUAACACCCGAAGCCGGUGGCGUAACCCUUUUAGGGAGCGAGCCGUCUAAGGUGACAAAGUUUG
RNAcentral lists this ribosomal RNA (1127 nucleotides) under Lacticaseibacillus paracasei. RNAcentral describes it as "bacterial SSU rRNA". It matches the Rfam family "Bacterial small subunit ribosomal RNA", at positions 357 to 1475 of the family's 1533-position model. The record is from RNAcentral. Lineage: Bacteria; Bacillati; Bacillota; Bacilli; Lactobacillales; Lactobacillaceae.